Long non-coding RNA from Salvelinus fontinalis (brook trout), 581 nucleotides. RefSeq lists it as uncharacterized. The transcript is spliced from 2 exons. The record is from RefSeq and is a predicted model, not a curated record. Lineage: Eukaryota; Metazoa; Chordata; Actinopteri; Salmoniformes; Salmonidae.
AGCUGUUUACUUCCUGGUUGCAACAUGAGAAGACGAUGUCUACGUCAAAGCUCCUAAACAAAAGUUUCACUUUGAGUCAAGUUCUGGAUAUGUUGGAUCUAGGUGACUGCCCAGACAAGGCAUGCAACAUUGCAGUUAUCCCUCAGCGAUUGUGAUAGCGAUGGGUCAGAUAUUGACUAUGAGGGGGAGACAGGCCAUUUGCCAGCCAGGCUGUUGAAUGUAUAUGCUGAACCUAUGCAAACUGAUCAUGACAGGGACAAGGUUAUCAGUGAUGAUGACCUACCACUCACCACCCCACACUCUCCUCCCUGAGACUGGGUUGGGUCAUGGACCCAGUGUCGUUCUUGGUGUUGCAGAGCAAUCUCGGGUGCCUCAAGGUUGCAAGUUCCUUCAUGACAACCUCUUCACUUCGCUUGCACUCCUUGAUGAAAUGACAAAAAAGAGGAUAUGGGAGCUCUGGAACGAUGAGGCAAAAUCGUCUUUUUGAUGUCCCAUUCAAGCCACAGAAGGACUUCAUGAAGUUACAAUAAAGUAACAAUGUUACAAUGUAUGUUACAAUAAAAUAACAAUGUUGAAAUACA